GCGAAGAACCUUACCAGGCCUUGACAUCCAAUGAACGUUCCAGAGAUGGAAUGGUGCCUUCGGGAACCAUGAGACAGGUGCUGCAUGGCUGUCGUCAGCCAACGAUCGGUGAGAUGUUGGGUUAAGUCCCGUAACGAGCGCAACCCUUGUCCUUAGUUACCAGCACGUCAUGGUGGGCACUCUAAGGAGACUGCCGGUGACAAACCGGAGGAAGGUUUUUAGAGACGUCAAGUCAUCAUGGCCCUUACGGCCUGGGCUACACACGUGCUACAAUGGUCGGUACAGAGGGUUGCCAAGCCGCGAGGUGGAGCUAAUCCCACAAAACCGA
Molecule: ribosomal RNA, 328 nt
Filed under: Pseudomonas cedrina subsp. cedrina
Lineage: Bacteria; Pseudomonadati; Pseudomonadota; Gammaproteobacteria; Pseudomonadales; Pseudomonadaceae
Description: bacterial SSU rRNA
Rfam family: Bacterial small subunit ribosomal RNA
Source: RNAcentral